CCAAUGGAUGUUCUGAACUCCAAAAGGGAUCUGUUUUGUUUUCCCUUGUCUCAGUUACAGAUAGCUUUAGUAAAUAUUUCUCUUAAAUGGCUGAAUGUCUGUAAAGCUGCAAUACCCAGUUCUACCACUGCAAGCAGAUUACAGACAUACUUACAUCAGAAGCCUAAAGUGGACAGAGAAUGAUAUGCAACCAAGUAUUACUCAGAUUAAAUCAGAUGAUUACUGCCACAAGAGACUUUACUCUGUGUCUGGAAAUGUACAAAUUAUAAAUGAAGACAAAAUAUCAGUACUGAGAAAAUCUUUUUGUUCGAGAACAUGUAUU
This is a long non-coding RNA of Corapipo altera (White-ruffed manakin), 322 nucleotides long. RefSeq lists it as uncharacterized. The record is from RefSeq and is a predicted model, not a curated record. NCBI's taxonomy places the organism in Eukaryota, Metazoa, Chordata, Aves, Passeriformes, Pipridae. The transcript is spliced from 3 exons.